ACACCAAAACAAGAAGAUGUUUUUCAGAAGCUGGGCUUAGUGCUGCUCAGUACCAGAGGACUCGUCAAGCUCUCCUCAGCACAGCCUGCAGCCAGGCUAUAGAUGAUCUGGAGAAAGACAGAGCACAGUGAGAAUAGAGACUACAAGAGAGGAGGGGAAUAGAUAAGAGGGUGAAGGAGAUAAAAAGAUGACAAGGGAAGUGGAAGAGUGACAGGAAAAUAGGAAGAGCUUUCCCCAGCAAUCCGUCCAUCUUGGUGAGACAAAGAGAGGUGAGCGUGAGGAUAACUCAG
Long non-coding RNA from Austrofundulus limnaeus, 290 nucleotides. RefSeq lists it as uncharacterized. The transcript is spliced from 2 exons. The record is from RefSeq and is a predicted model, not a curated record. Lineage: Eukaryota; Metazoa; Chordata; Actinopteri; Cyprinodontiformes; Rivulidae.